RNAcentral lists this ribosomal RNA (755 nucleotides) under uncultured Actinomyces sp. RNAcentral's name for it is "bacterial SSU rRNA". It matches the Rfam family "Bacterial small subunit ribosomal RNA", at positions 28 to 776 of the family's 1533-position model. Lineage: Bacteria; Bacillati; Actinomycetota; Actinomycetes; Actinomycetales; Actinomycetaceae. The record is from RNAcentral.
GACGAACGCUGGCGGCGUGCUUAACACAUGCAAGUCGAACGCUGAAGACCUGGCUUUUGUUGGGUUGGAUGAGUGGCGAACGGGUGAGUAACACGUGAGUAACCUGCCCUCUUCUUUGGGAUAACGCCCGGAAACGGGUGCUAAUACUGGAUAUUCACUGGCCUUCGCAUGGGGGUUGGUGGAAAGGUUUGUUCUGGUGGGGGAUGGGCUCGCGGCCUAUCAGCUUGUUGGUGGGGUGAUGGCCUACCAAGGCUUUGACGGGUAGCCGGCCUGAGAGGGUGACCGGUCACAUUGGGACUGAGAUACGGCCCAGACUCCUACGGGAGGCAGCAGUGGGGAAUAUUGCACAAUGGGCGAAAGCCUGAUGCAGCGACGCCGCGUGAGGGAUGGAGGCCUUCGGGUUGUAAACCUCUUUCGCUCAUGGUCAAGCCGCAACUGUGGGUUGUGGUGAGGGUAGUGGGUAAAGAAGCGCCGGCUAACUACGUGCCAGCAGCCGCGGUAAUACGUAGGGCGCGAGCGUUGUCCGGAAUUAUUGGGCGUAAAGGGCUUGUAGGCGGUUGGUCGCGUCUGCCGUGAAAUUCUCUGGCUUAACUGGGGGCGUGCGGUGGGUACGGGCUGACUUGAGUGCGGUAGGGGAGACUGGAACUCCUGGUGUAGCGGUGGAAUGCGCAGAUAUCAGGAAGAACACCGGUGGCGAAGGCGGGUCUCUGGGCCGUUACUGACGCUGAGGAGCGAAAGCGUGGGGAGCGAACAGG